Molecule: ribosomal RNA, 253 nt
Filed under: uncultured bacterium
Lineage: Bacteria
Description: partial 16S ribosomal RNA
Rfam family: Bacterial small subunit ribosomal RNA
Source: RNAcentral
UACGAAGGGAGCUAGCGUUGUUCGGAAUCACUGGGCGUAAAGCGCACGUAGGCGGAUUUGUCAGUCAGGGGUGAAAUCCCGGGGCUCAACCUCGGAACUGCCUUUGAUACAGCAAGUCUUGAGUUCGAGAGAGGUGGGUGGAAUUCCUAGUGUAGAGGUGAAAUUCGUAGAUAUUAGGAAGAACACCGGUGGCGAAGGCGGCCCACUGGAUCGGUACUGACGCUGAGGAGCGAAAGCGUGGGGAGCGAACAGG